This 75-nucleotide transfer RNA is filed under the name Deinococcus sp. QL22. RNAcentral's name for it is "tRNA-Asn". It matches the Rfam family "tRNA". From Rfam's summary of the family: Transfer RNA (tRNA) molecules are approximately 80 nucleotides in length. Their secondary structure includes four short double-helical elements and three loops (D, anti-codon, and T loops). Lineage: Bacteria; Thermotogati; Deinococcota; Deinococci; Deinococcales; Deinococcaceae. The record is from RNAcentral.
UGGCCAGUAACUCAGCGGUAGAGUGCCCGCCUGUUAAGCGGAAUGUCCCUGGUUCGAGCCCAGGCUGGUCAGCCA